Molecule: ribosomal RNA, 279 nt
Filed under: uncultured bacterium
Lineage: Bacteria
Description: partial 16S ribosomal RNA
Rfam family: Bacterial small subunit ribosomal RNA
Source: RNAcentral
UGCCAGCAGCCGCGGUAACACGAACCGUACGAACGUUAUUCGGAAUUAUUGGGCUUAAAGGGUGCGUAGGCGGCGCUGUAAGUCGGGUGUGAAAUCCCACGGCUCAACCGUGGAACUGCGCUUCAAACCACAAGGCUUGAGGGAGGCAGAGGUAAGCGGAACUGAUGGUGGAGCGGUGAAAUGCGUUGAUAUCAUCAGGAACACCAGUGGCGAAGGCGGCUUACUGGGCCUCUUCUGACGCUGAGGCACGAAAGCUAGGGUAGCGAACGGGAUUAGAUA